Molecule: transfer RNA, 76 nt
Filed under: Wenzhouxiangella marina
Lineage: Bacteria; Pseudomonadati; Pseudomonadota; Gammaproteobacteria; Chromatiales; Wenzhouxiangellaceae
Also listed under: 15 other names
Description: tRNA-Val
Rfam family: tRNA
About the family: Transfer RNA (tRNA) molecules are approximately 80 nucleotides in length. Their secondary structure includes four short double-helical elements and three loops (D, anti-codon, and T loops).
Source: RNAcentral
GGGUGCUUAGCUCAGCUGGGAGAGCAUCGCCCUUACAAGGCGAGGGUCGGAGGUUCGAGCCCUCCAGCACCCACCA